UACGUAGGUGGCAAGCGUUGUCCGGAUUUACUGGGCGUAAAGAGCGCGCAGGCGGUCGAGUAAGUCGAAUGUGAAAGCCCCCGGCUUAACUGGGGAGGGUCAUUCGAUACUGAUCGACUCGAAGGCAGGAGAGGGUAGUGGAAUUCCCGGUGUAGUGGUGAAAUGCGUAGAUAUCGGGAGGAACACCAGUGGCGAAGGCGACUACCUGGCCUGUUUCUUGACGCUGAGGCGCGAAAGCUAGGGGAGCAAACGGG
This 254-nucleotide ribosomal RNA is filed under the name uncultured bacterium. RNAcentral's name for it is "partial 16S ribosomal RNA". It matches the Rfam family "Bacterial small subunit ribosomal RNA", at positions 524 to 776 of the family's 1533-position model. The record is from RNAcentral.